AUGGCUAAGAUGCUUCGAGAGAAUUUUGGAGUUGAGUUACCUCGGAAUCGGAUUUACCAAAAGCCGUACCCCGAGUACUUUGAUGCCAUCCAGUGUCCUCCAGGAUAUAAAAUUCCAAAUUUUGUUAAGUUUAAUGGAGAGGGCACAAAAACCACAUGGGAGCAUGCUAGUCAAUACUUAGCACAAUUGGGUGAGGCAGGCUCACUGAAUGAGUUGAAAGUGCGUUUAUUUCCUUUGUCAUUAACUGGUACCGCAUUUUCAUGGUUUUCUUCUUUACCACAUGGUUCCAUUCGAGUUUGA
Molecule: ribosomal RNA, 300 nt
Filed under: Triticum aestivum (bread wheat)
Lineage: Eukaryota; Viridiplantae; Streptophyta; Magnoliopsida; Poales; Poaceae
Description: partial small subunit ribosomal RNA
Source: RNAcentral